RNAcentral lists this ribosomal RNA (247 nucleotides) under uncultured Bdellovibrio sp. Its description in RNAcentral is "partial 16S ribosomal RNA". It matches the Rfam family "Bacterial small subunit ribosomal RNA", at positions 210 to 456 of the family's 1533-position model. Lineage: Bacteria; Pseudomonadati; Bdellovibrionota; Bdellovibrionia; Bdellovibrionales; Pseudobdellovibrionaceae. The record is from RNAcentral.
GUUUUUCGCUUGAGGAUGAGCCCAUGUGGGAUUAGCUAGUUGGUGAGGUAAUGGCUCACCAAGGCGACGAUCCCUAACUGGUCUUAGAGGAUGAUCAGUCACACUGGAACUGAGACACGGUCCAGACUCCUACGGGAGGCAGCAGUAGGGAAUAUUGCACAAUGGAGGAAACUCUGAUGCAGCGACGCCGCGUGAGUGAUGAAGGCCUUCGGGUCGUAAAGCUCUGUCGUACGGGACUAAGAAAGUG